RNAcentral lists this ribosomal RNA (218 nucleotides) under uncultured Fusobacteriales bacterium. RNAcentral's name for it is "partial 16S ribosomal RNA". It matches the Rfam family "Bacterial small subunit ribosomal RNA", at positions 117 to 334 of the family's 1533-position model. The record is from RNAcentral. Lineage: Bacteria; Fusobacteriati; Fusobacteriota; Fusobacteriia; Fusobacteriales.
GUAAAGAACUUGCCUCACAGCUAGGGACAACAUUUGGAAACGAAUGCUAAUACCUAAUAUUAUGAUAAUAGGGCAUCCUAUAAUUAUGAAAGCUAUAAGCGCUGUGAGAGAGCUUUGCGUCCCAUUAGCUAGUUGGAGAGGUAACGGCUCACCAAGGCGAUGAUGGGUAGCCGGCCUGAGAGGGUGAUCGGCCACAAGGGGACUGAGACACGGCCCUU